This 251-nucleotide unclassified non-coding RNA is filed under the name uncultured fungus. RNAcentral describes it as "partial contains small subunit ribosomal RNA, internal transcribed spacer 1, and 5.8S ribosomal RNA". The stretch from base 1 to 73 matches the Rfam family "Eukaryotic small subunit ribosomal RNA", at positions 1759 to 1831 of the family's 1831-position model. The record is from RNAcentral. Lineage: Eukaryota; Fungi.
ACAAACUUGGUCAUUUAGAGGAAGUAAAAGUCGUAACAAGGUUUCCGUAGGUGAACCUGCGGAAGGAUCAUUAUAAAACGAUCAUUAUUCACACCCAUGUGCAUUUUUUUGGAGAAAGGGAAGAGGUUUUCCUUUUUUCUUUCUCUUUUUUCCCUUCAGCCUUAUUGUUUGUCUAAAGAAUUGGGAAUAUAAAAAUUAAUACAACUUUCAACAACGGAUCUCUUGGCUCUCGCAUCGAUGAAGAACGCAGC